This 118-nucleotide ribosomal RNA is filed under the name Pteropus alecto (black flying fox). Lineage: Eukaryota; Metazoa; Chordata; Mammalia; Chiroptera; Pteropodidae. The record is from RNAcentral.
GUCUAUGGCCAUGCUACCCUAACAAGUCUGAUCCCAUCUGAUCUGGAAAGCUAAGCAGGACUGAGCCUGGUUAGUACUUGGAUGGGAGACCACGUUGGAAAACCAGGUGCUGUAGGCG